AUAUAUGCAUCUAUUUGCUUAGACUAGUUACAUGGACUAAUCAUGAGUUAUAUAUAUUUUUUAGACCAUAAGCAGCGUGUAUCGUCUGAAAAAGAAAAUAAUUUAUUUUUUAUUUUUAUUUUUAGAUUUAAAAAAGAAGAUAAUCAAUCGCGGGUCGCCACGUGUCAGUGGGGCCUACAAAUAGUGAAGAAACAAAACAAGAGACGUCGCGAAUGUAGAAACGUCCUUUUUUUUGAUAAUUUAUGAUUUAAAAUUUUAUAUUUUAAUGUAUGGAACUUCUAAAAUAUAC
This 289-nucleotide long non-coding RNA is filed under the name Capsella rubella. RNAcentral's name for it is "long non-coding RNA (CRUB_LNC003717)". The record is from RNAcentral. Lineage: Eukaryota; Viridiplantae; Streptophyta; Magnoliopsida; Brassicales; Brassicaceae.